This 79-nucleotide transfer RNA is filed under the name Symbiobacterium thermophilum IAM 14863. RNAcentral's name for it is "tRNA-Glu". It matches the Rfam family "tRNA". Rfam says of the family: Transfer RNA (tRNA) molecules are approximately 80 nucleotides in length. Their secondary structure includes four short double-helical elements and three loops (D, anti-codon, and T loops). Further hydrogen bonds mediate the characteristic L-shaped molecular structure. tRNAs have two regions of fundamental functional importance: the anti-codon, which is responsible for specific mRNA codon recognition, and the 3' end, to which the tRNAs corresponding amino acid is attached (by aminoacyl-tRNA synthetases). tRNAs cope with the degeneracy of the genetic code in two manners: having more than one tRNA (with a specific anti-codon) for a particular amino acid; and 'wobble' base-pairing, i.e. permitting non-standard base-pairing at the 3rd anti-codon position. The record is from RNAcentral. Lineage: Bacteria; Bacillati; Bacillota; Clostridia; Eubacteriales; Symbiobacteriaceae.
GGCCCCAUCGUCUAGAGGCCUAGGACGGCGCCCUCUCACGGCGCAAACAGGGGUUCGAAUCCCCUUGGGGUCACCAGUA